This 588-nucleotide small RNA is filed under the name Pan troglodytes (chimpanzee). Its description in RNAcentral is "retained intron". The record is from RNAcentral. Lineage: Eukaryota; Metazoa; Chordata; Mammalia; Primates; Hominidae.
GCGGCGUGACUGAGCUACGGUUCUGGCUGCGUCCUAGAGGCAUCCAGGGCAGUAAAACCGCUGCGAUCGCGGAGGCGGCGGCCAGGCCGAGAGGCAGGCGGGGCAGGGGUGUCGGACGCAGGGCGCUGGGCCGGGUUUCGGCUUCGGCCACAGCUUUUUUUCUCAAGGUGCAAUGAAAGCCUUCCACACUUUCUGUGUUGUCCUUCUGGUGUUUGGGAGUGUCUCUGAAGCCAAGUUUGAUGAUUUUGAGGAUGAAGAGGACAUAGUAGAGUAUGAUGAUAAUGACUUCGCUGAAUUUGAGGAUGUCAUGGAAGACUCUGUUACUGAAUCUCCUCAACGGGUCAUAAUCACUGAAGAUGAUGAAGAUGAGACCACUGUGGAGUUGGAAGGGCAGGAUGAAAACCAAGAAGGAGAUUUUGAAGAUGCAGAUACCCAGGUGAGGCUCUUUUUAUUAAUUUCUUGGAAAAAUUUGUAACUAGCACCUUUCCCAAACAUUAAAAUUAAUCCUCAGGCUCAAGAGACCUUUACUGUCUGGAGUCUUCAUUUUCAUUCACUAGGUAGAGCUCUUCUAAAUGUUUUGUGGUAAGU